GGGCCACAGAGCGAGACUCUGUCUCAAAAAAAUAAAAAAAAAAAGAGAAAGAAAAGAAUUCCUCCUAAGUCACUAGCUUUUGGCUCUAUCUCCUGAGUGGCAGGUUCUGUCUUGUCUCUCUGAGAUCCUGACUCUUUAAAUAAAGGUUACUUAACCCUAUACCUCUUGCUAGGCAUCUCUUGUCUGAAUUCCUUCCUCCAAGAAGACUAAGAACUGGAGGAUUUCCAUGCCUCUCACAGUGACAGUGCUACCCAAACAUCAGGGUUGUCAUCUAGGCCCCCUGCCCUGCACAGAAAGCCAAUCACCAACAGCAGUGCCAGGGAAGAAGGCCUCAUUCAAGUGCUACAGCCCAGAGAUGGGCGCUCAGUCACAAAUCCCUCUCCUCAGCCCACUAAAAUUAGAAGUUUCCAGAGCAGGGAAGAAAUGUCACCCUGUGUGGGAAAACAGGAAUUAGGGAGAGUGAGGAGGCAGCUAGGCAGUCAUGACUGGUGAGGGGUCUGGCCUCAAGGACCUACUGAGUUUCAGCGCCUUGAUACUGUCUGGGAGGCCCGAUGGUUGGUUUCCUGAGAAAGGAGCUCAGAUAAGACAAAUGUAACUUUCCCAAGUUUUAAGACAGGGUGGGCCAAUUUCUAUGUUUAUUCAAAAGAAACCCUAAAUACUAGUUUUACGAGAAAUUGGGCCCAUGUGAGUAGGCCCCAAAGGGCAAUCCACAGGUGGUGUUCUCCACCCUGCUUUCUCCUCUCAACCCUCUGUAUAGAGGCCCUCUGUUAACACAGGCAGGAGCAGGAAUUUCACACUCUUUUCCUUUCUUUGCUUUCUUCUUUGUCUUUUUUUUUUUUUUACAGUUGUGAUAUAGUUUGGAUCUGUGUCCCCACCCAAAUCUCAUGUUGAAUUGUAAUCCCCAGUGUUGGGGGUGGGGCCUGGUGGGAGGUGAUUGGAUCAUAGGGGUGGUCCUUCAUGAAUGGUUUAGCACUAUCCCUUUGGUGCUGUUCUUGUGAUGGAGUUCUCACGAGAUCUGUUUUUUUUAAAAGUGUGUAGGCAACUCCCUUUCUUCCUCCUGCUCAGGCCACGUAAGAGGUGCCCGCUUCCCCUUUGCCUUCCAUCAUGAUUGUAAGUUUCCUGAGGCCUCCCCAGAAGCCAGCACCAUGCUUCCUGCACAGCCUGUGGAACUGUGAGACAAUUAAACCUCUUCUCUUUAUAAAUUGCCCAGCCUCAGGUAUUUCUUUAUAGCAAUGGGAGAAAGGACUAAUACAAGUUGCAUCAUAUUCCAUGGCCUGGAUGUACCAUAGUUAAUUUAAAUAGCCUCCUUGAAUGAACAUUUGUGUUGUUCACAGUGUUUUUAUAUCUCACAUGUCAAAGUCAAAUACAUUAUAGGAUGAAUCUCUAAACGUUUUAUUCAGGAAUCACAGAAUUGUAAUUCUGGGCGUACACAGACCAGAAAUGUGUUUGGUGUGUCUGACGAACAAAGAGAAGGUUGAAAGUUUUAUUUAAGAAAUGUUACCUAUUGUUUAGAAAGAAAACUUGUGGGCCCUGGUAGAGGUUUGGGGAGCUGGCAGGCUCUGAUGGGUGAGUGACACAGUAGGUAGACCUUGUCUUUGAGUCACGGCAGGUCGUUCCAGCAGCUGUUAGGUGCACCUGAUUGUAAAGUUGCAGCAGGCGUUUCAGCACUUGGGCUUGCAGAUGGUUCUUGGAGCAGGUGCUGUCUGCCUGAGUGGUUUUCCUCUGGCCCUCUGCCUUGACUUAGUCGGGUAUGACCAGAAUAACUCAAUUUAUGAAGUCAACUUUCAUAUACAUGACGCUGCAAUUGUCCCUAAUGUCAUUCCUUACAUAUACCAUUAUACCACAGCUUUCCAGAAAUGAGAUCAAGGGACAAAAGUUAAAUAUAUUUGCAGUUUAUAUGAGUAUUGCCCAGUUGCUCUAUCUGGUCUUUGGACAAUUUUGUCAUUGAGGAGUGAGUGCUUGUUUUCAUGGUGGUGUCAGAAAGAAUGUCCUCUUAUUUACUCUUUGGAUUUUCACCAAUGUGACAGAUGAAAAUGAAAAUAGUAUCCGGGUGUAUUUUUAAUUUGCAUUUUUAAAUUAUAAGUGAGCUUGAGCACUUGAUAUGGUUUGAUAUGUUUGAUAUGGCUAGUGGAUAUUUGCAUUUUCCUGUGAUCUCUCUAUUUAUGUCUCUCGUCCAUUUUCCCGUUUAACAGACAUUGCUUAACAGAAGACAAUAUUUGAGUUGCUGACCAAUCCCGAAAUAGUUGUGAGGUAUGAUAUCAGCAGGACUUGUUUUCCGAGCCUUGAUCAUGACCCUGUGAUCAAAACAGGAUAUAACAAAGAAACUGGCCCAAACCAGCUAGGACCAAGAUGGUGACAUAAGUGACUUCUAGUUGCCCUCAUUGCUCAUUAUAUGCUAAUUAUAAUACAUUCUCAUAAGACACCACAUCAGCACCAUGACAAUUUACAAAUGCCAUGGCAAUGACCCAGAAGUUAUAUGGUUCAUAUAUGAUGCCAAAAAGGCUCAUUACAAUGGAUCUUGGGAGUAAUUUUUCAAGGAAUAUGAACAAAGUCUUCCCUCUGUGGUUAAUUCAUGAAUGCUGUGUUGGAAUAUUCUGGAUGGUCCAGACUUUCCUCUGUAAUCGACGUUGAGCCCUGCACAACUUCAGGAGGGCGCCAGACCUCACUACUCUCAAGGAAAAGGCUGAAGUGGAGGAAUUGAUUCCCACUGAUUUUUUUUUUUAAUUUUUUUGAGACAGAGUCUUGUUCUUUCACCAAAGCUGGAGUGCAGUGGCAUGAUCUCGGCUCACUGCAACCUCUGCCUCCCAGGUCCAAGUGGUUCUCCUGCCUCAGCUUCCCGAGUAGCUGGGAUUACAGGCAUGAGCCACCAUGCCUGGCUAAUUUUAGUAUUUUUAGUAGAGACAGGGUUUACCAUGUUGACCAGUCUGGUCUCGAACUCCUGACCUCAAAUGAUCCGUCUGCCUCAGCCUCCCAAAGUAUAGGGAUUACAGGCGUGAGCCACUCCACCUGACCUUGAUUUUAUUUUUAACCAUCCUGUCUGAGAGAUUAUUUGUGGAGGCUGACAGCAGAUGUGCAGGGUUCAACAGUGCAGUAUGCUGCAUUUCUUCAGCUAUACCUCAUAUUGUAAAGACUGUCCAGGUAACUCAACAAGCGGGAGGUAAGGGUUGCAGGUGGGAUACUGUAGUACACCCCAUUGGUCUAAAGGCACAUUUCCUUCUUUUCCACCCACUGUUGCAGUCCAGCCAGGCAUAACUUUAGGAGAAUGUGGUUAGGUAAACAUGUGCCAUUUGGCACAGGGAUAUUUGAAUUUCCUGGCAUGAGGAGUGGCGGGACUUGGACUAGCUAACCAUGAGAGUGAGUUAGUAGAGAUGUGGAUGCCGUCAUGCUGAUGGCCUGCUCAGAGUAGCACUGGGCUGUAUUCGCCCAAACACCCAACAGAGCCUGGCCAAAUGCAAGGCCCAGUCCGGUCUGGGGACUUCUCUGGAAUGCCUGUGCCAGUAUAACCGGGAAUGUCCCUCAAACAGAGAGAAGCAAAUUAUUAUCUCUUACUGAGCCCUUUGCUAAACAAGAAGCAGAGCCAUGUGGACCUAUGAGAGAUCUGGAGACACAACAUUCCCCAUUGAGGAAUACACCGCCCUUGCUAUUCUGAAUUCAAAUGGGUCCCUGAACCAAUAAAAGCAUGAAUGUAUUUUCAAGAGGUGGUGCAUGCAGCUUCAUGCAGGCCUCCUGAGCCAGUCGUCCAGAUGUGGUUAGGAAUGUCUGCUAUCAGGACACUUGCUGCCUGGGAACCCUUGGCAGAGGCCAGCACUGCCACCCAGCAGGGACCUCUGGUGUGUUGCAGCUGCUCCUCAAAUGCCUCUGGAAGACAAUAGCAACUUACGACUUCCUUACCAGGAAACAGCAUCAGAUAGCCUUCAAACCAGAAAUGCCUCUCAUGUCUUGAUGUCAGAGAACCAUUCUACCAAGAGGAGGAGCAGCCCAGCAAAGUCCAUCAAACGGUGAGAGUAUAUUCCAGAGCAGGGGGCAGGAGGACGUUAGGGGAGCCUGUGGCUUCUGCAGCAGAGGCAAUAGCAGAAGGAGAGGAGAGGGAGGAGCAGAAGGAGAGCAGAGGGAGAGCAGAGGGAGGAGCCUUCAAGGGCUGCUGUGUGUUCGGAGCCCAGCUAAAGCCAAGCAGGCCUCUGAGCUCCCUGCUAGGAGUUCAUGUCUGCAGGGCAUGUGGCUGCUUGGAAAUUAGCCAUGUAGACCUCACAGUCUGUCUUUGCCAGAGAAAGGCAGGGCAAACCAUAUUAUACACCUUUAUAACAUUGUUUCAAAUCCAGAAGUGUGAUGCCUCCACCGUUGUUUUUCUUUUUCAAAAUUGCCUUGGCUAUUUUUUUUUUUUUUUUUUGUGGUUCCAUGCCGAUUUUGGAUUUUUUUUCUUUUCUCUCUUUUUUGAUGGGGAGGGAUGGAGUCUCACUUUGUUGCCCAGGCUGCAGUGCAGUGGCACAAUCUUGGCUUACUGCAACCUCUGCUUCCCGGGUUCAAGGGAUUCUACCACCUCAGCCUCCUGAGUAGCUUGAGACUACAGGCGUGUGCUACCAUGCCCGGCUAACUUUUGUGUAUUUAGUAGAGUUGGGAUUUUGCCAUGUUGGCCAGGCUGGUCUUGAACUCUUCACCUCAGGUGAUCCACCCACCUCGGCAUCCCAAAUUGUUGGGAUUACAGGCGUAAGCAAACGUGUCCAGCCAGAUCUUUCUUCUAUUUCUGUGAGAAAUACCACUGAAAUUUUGAUAGGGAUCCCAUUGAAUUUGUACAUUGCUUUUGAUGGGAUUACUAGAGAAACAGGAGUGUAGGAGAGCCAGAGUGACGCCAUUUUAAAGCCAAUUCCAUUUUAAAACAAGCAAGGCAAUUCCUUGCCAGUCACAGCCCAUGGUCACAGGUGUUGACAGCUAAGGAGGGAGUUUAGUAAUGCCUGCAAGGACUAACUCCUACAGCAACAAAAUGUCCAAAUGCGCCAAUAUCUAAUAACAAUAUGUGCUUUUAAAAUAAUUAGAAUCAUGCUUUGAUGUACUUACUCACUAAAAUCCCAAGGAUAGUUUACUUUAAAUCAACAAAGUAAUAAGUUUUGUCACGCUGUCAACCCACCCACACAUAGACUUAACUUAGCUUUUACAUAGAUAAGACCCCUACAUGAGAGGAGUUUAAAACAAAGACAAUGCGUUCCUCCUCUUGUUUUCUGAGGAUGCCCUACUCUGCAUCUGAGUAGCUUUCAAUAAAUGAUCUCUUCUCACUGCACUCUGUGACUCACCUGAAUUCCUUCCUGUGCAAGACUGAAAAACCCUCUUCCAGCAACAUCUUUCUGGCGAUGCACUAAGGGACCAUAAGAUGAGACUAUGUGCUGGGGAAGUUUUGUCUGCAGCACCAGUUGGCCACCUCUGGUAAAUGGGGUCCUUCUUGGCAUCCUAUGUCAUGCUUAGACAAGGAUGCUCGCCUAGAAACUCAGGUUAGAGGCUCAGCCCACAAGGUUAGAUGCCCUGGGGUAUAUCUGGAACAAUGGAAGUCUCUUUGCAAGAUGUUUGUCAGUACAUGAUCUGAACUAAUCCACCUUGUGCCCUCUGCUGGGGAUGGGAAAGCUCUACUUCUCAUCAUUUCCCAGCUCAUUGCUUUGCUGUACUGCAGCCUUGGGGCAGCCCCAAAUGGCUGGUCCAGAGGUUUCCACCUUCCAGUGGCGGAUUCUAAUGUUCUUUAUGUGUUUCUCUCUGUUCUUUUCUGCCUGCUUUGGAUCUGCUGUUACUAAUCUGCUGCCGAGUGGCAACUCUGCUUAUCUCACGGUGUUGAGGUGAGACUCACUGUUUUUGGUAUUACUAAUUCAAGGCUACCUGGAGAUUGUCUUUUCUUGUACAGUUCAGCCAGUUCUGGCUAAAAUGUAUACAUUAAAAACUCAUUUAAAACUGAAGAAAAAAAUGAUGAAAAGGUUUUUUUUUUUUUUAAACCAAACUUCCUUAAAGACUACUUUACCAAAACUUUGGUCCACAGCUUUCCUUGGAUUGCGUGUUGGAUGUCUGGGUCAUUUCCAAUUAAGAAAAGUUUAUGCUAUGGGAAACAUGUUUCUAGAAUUGUGGAAGGGUCUUAUCUAUAAAGUGCUAACAUCUGGCAAACAGUGCAGGAUCUCUUGCUUCCUCAGUUUUCCCACUCACGGAUGAGCGAGUGCGCUUAGCUGUCCCUUCCCUUCCCUUCCCGCUCUGGUUUCCUGUAUGCAAUGUGCUCAGCCUUCCAAGCCUUGGGACACACAGGGAUGCUCAUGCUCCUUUAUGUUCCCCUAGGGACUAGGGGUUAGUGGACCUCACCCAGAGGUGUGGGAUCCUUUGGGUUCUGUCUGCUGGGGAGCCUGGAGCCGGGGAUCCUCCAGGUCAGCCACCAUCCUGUUACAUGGGGCUCUUCAGCCUUUCGGGUCCCAGGGCUGCAGUGCCACCCCAGUGGAAAGCCCAUUUGAGACUCAGAGGGAUAUUUGCCAGCAUGUCCUGCUGGGUCUCCCUCGUCCCCUUCAUUGGCUGCAUAUUUGCUGUCUGUGCCUCACUAGUGAUGCCCGUCAUCCUGAGCUUGCAUGCUCUGAAGUUUAUGCCUGCCAUUUUCCUUCUCCUGGUGAUUUUCUUUCUUUGGGUUAUUUAAUUCAGCAUGUCUCUGGGCAGCAUUGGAGGCCAAAAGCCUCCCAGGAACUAGUCUUAUUGAGAAGAAAAAUAAUUUUGUCUAAUUCAGAAGUUAUCUAAAGGUCAAUUCAAAUGAUGAACUUGAAAAUAGUUACUUAUGAAGCAAGGUAGAAAGGAGCCAGUAAGUAGGGGAGCGAGAGAUGUGAAUAAAAGUUAUGGAUAUGAAGAUGUAUUUUUGGUAAGGAAGGUUAUAAAGAAUAGCAAAUAAUGUAUGAAAAAGGAUCUCGUGUGGUAAAUUUUUGUCCUAAAGUAAAAUGACUAAUGAUUAUUAGUCAUUAGCCAUUAAUAUGACUAUUAUUAUUAGUUAUUAGUCAUUAAUGACUAAAUGAUUAUUUAGGAAAGAGAGAAGGUUAGGGCAAGGCAGAAAGUCCAAGCACAUCUAAGAUGGUCUGUGUACACUGGGAUAAAGUUCGUGAAGGGGAAUUUAUGAAAGGAAUUUUGUAUAUGAUUAAGUUGGUUAUAAUUGAAAGGAAGCCAUUUAUAACAGUCUUUCUAAAAAUUGGUCGCCUACGUUAAAACAAAGUUUUCUUGAGGUACUGAUUUGCUGUGAAUGAAGUUACAAGAAAUUUUACUUUCAAUUUUAUACCCCGUUUCUCUUCUAAACUUCUCAGAUCCAUAUUUCCGACAUUCCAUUUUUUCUGUCUCACUGCUUUCAGCUUUUUCCCCCUUGAGCAGGCCUGAGAUGAUGACCUUCUCCUUCAGCAUUUUUUGUCAGCUCCUGCACCCCUUUUUUCCUCCAGUUUUAACUGUUGGAAUGACCUGAUGCUAAAGUUUUAUCUUGAAGGUCUAGAAAAGCAAUGUUUUCUUCUAGUAUAACUUGAUUUUAUAUUCUUGGCUUUUCUUGCUGUGUCUAAAUUUUCAGUGUAAUCAGAAAACUUCUCAUGCUGUUCCUAAGGGUCACAUAUGCUCAUAACCUUAAACACUGUUCCUGUGUCUGAUUGCAUUCAAGCACUUCUUUCCUCAAGUUUGUCUUCCAGGUUAUCUAAAUGGGCUUCCUGUAAGAAGAAGCGGUCUCACUGCAGAAGGUUUUCCCUGCCUUUUUAUUAGCUGGCUUAAAAAAAAACAAGAUUUUAUGUUUUUUUCACGAUAAUUCCUAUACUGUCUUUAUUAGCUUUAUGAUUGCAAAAAAACUGAAAGUUAAAAGGGUUAAGGUUUUUACCUCCAUGUGACUUUCUCUAUUGCUUGUUAAAGUCUUUAUGAUUAUUACUCUUGGUUAAGUGUAUAACUAUUACAAUGACCUGUGAUUUUAUGUUAAUAAAAUGUUUUGAGCCUUUUAACAUCUUAGAGAAAUAUCCUCAAAAUCAAAAUCUUAAAUUUAGUCUCUGAUUUAGUCUUAUUGCUGGGGCUUAUUAAGCCUAUAGAAAUUAAUCUCUGCAAGGUCAUAGACUCUUUCUAGAACUUUCUGGCAGACCAUGAAGUCCAGUAUCACCACCUCCAGCCUGAAAAUUAUAUAUUGGAAGAAAAAUCAGUUAAAGGAUUCCCUCAGCCCCCUUGAAGCUGUCCUUAUCAAGAGUUAUUAACCAAUGCUUGUGCUUAGUUAAUAACCUGUUGUAGGGCUUUGACUCCUGGACACACAUAUCUAAAGAUGGCACUGACUUCUACCAGUAUCUGACAAAAACUCAAGUUAACUGAAGGCUCGUCUUUAGACCUGGGCAAAGGGGACAACGUAAACUGCUUUCAUGAGACACAAGGACAGGACAAUUUGCUGAGGUCUGCGAGCUGCCCCUCCAGAGAAUCCCUGCUCUCCCAAAAUUUGGUCAAGAUCUCAAGUUUAUUUUGGUGUACAACUCCUUUAUUUUGGAGUUUUACUUUCUUCCAACAAGGAAGGGAAGUUUUCCUGCUUCCGUGAUAAUGGAAGGCAGGUAACUCCUUUAUGGAGUUUGAGCUCACUUCCAACAGCGAAGAUGAGAUUUUUCCUGCUUCUAGGAUGGUGGAGAGCAGUCUUCAGCCUGAGACCCAUCCCUGGGUAAGUAACUGAAUUGGGGUUUGUCUUGGCUAAAGUUAAAGUUAACAACCAGCUGGUCUUAAUUUCUUUUUACCAUUAGAGUGUUCAGUGAUCAUGUAAGUUGUGCCAUUGUUUGUUUUGCUUAAGGGUUUUUUUUUUUUUUUUGGUGUUUGUUUGUUUCUGUUUUUCCUACUGUUUCUCUUGUUGUUUCAGUCUUUUGCCCAUUGGGUUUAAUCAACUCUAUCCAACUUGAUCAACUCUGAAGGGAAGUUCCAAAUUAUGGGGAACAAGGCCUCUGAAGUGACUAAAUUCCACCCCCCGCCUCCCCUCCACACACACACACAAAAGGUGGUAUGGUUGGGGGAGAAAAACAGCCAGCAAAAGGAGAAAAAAAGGAAAGAUUUUUGAUUUUGACUACUAAAGGGGUUUUAUUUACAGAACAAGGCCACUUUUUUGCUAGCAGGCCAAACUGAAACAAUGGCAGUUGCCCCACGCUGUAGUUCCAUACCUAAGGCUCUGCUUUCUUUUCACCAUGAGAGCCUGGGUUUGGUGGGUUUGGUUCCUAAAUCAAGCCCUUUCUGGUUUGAUACUUGGUACCUCUGAAAUAGCAGCAAUUUUUUCUGACUAAAAUACGGUAAUGAAAUUUAAAUGGAUUAUUUUAAAAAGAGCUCAAUGGUUAAAAGUCAGUUUAAUUAAAAGGCUAACAUCCAAGAUGUACGUGUGUGUGUGUGUGUGUGUGUGCGUGCACGCAUAUGUGUAUGUUUGUCUUUGAAAGGUCUUCAUGUGUUUGUUUUUUGGUUGUUUUUCUCCUCUAGGACCUUGCCUUUUUUUUUUAGCAAAAGUUUUUUUCUUCUCAGUUGACUGAAUUCUGUUAUUACCUGAUUGUUUGACUAAAAUAGAUACUGCACAGAGGCUACUCUGGGGUUUUUAAGGAAGAGUGUAGUUUAGACACUUAAAAAUGUCUUUGUUUAAAACUAUUUUUUAAGUGCACUGUAAAAGCAUCACGUUGUCUAGCCUCAUAAUAAUUCACCCUUUUUGGAGACCCAGGAUUCAGUGUGGGCUCUACCCAGAGCUCAGAUAUCUGGUUAAAAAAAGAAAAACAGGUAGUCUCUAUCUAAAUAAAAUCAGUCUUCCUAUGUAAUCCAACAAUAAAUUUCUGUAAUUUUAUUACUGAGUUGGCAUCCAUCUUUAAUCUUUCUCUAGCACCACCAGACAUUUUCUCUGUGUACCUGAUAAUGUAAAUUUUGCUAUUUGACUUUCACCUGAUAUGCAGAUUUAAGGCUAUUUAGCUGACAACUGUCUAGGGUUCUGAAACAGGUUAUCAAGAAUCUGAAAGUCUAAGAUAUGAAAAAAGAGGUUUUUAUGAAUCUAUAAGAUGUACUUUUAUCAGCAUGCCUAAUAUGUCUGUAUUUAUGUGUUGUGUACACAAUGUUUCACUAUGAAAAAUAUAUAAAAGAGCUCUAAUUAAUUGGCUCAAAGUGAAAUAAUUCAAAAAGCAGCUAUAUUCAUUAAAUCAAUAUCAAUGAUUUAUACUUAAUACGUAAAUACUUUAUCAGGAAAAAAGGAAAGAUUAGUCAAAUGCUUUUUCAAGUUUGCAUAACUUAAGUAAAAUUAUUAAUAAAUGAGCUCGCUUUAAAAUUAUUGGUAAAGUAAUAUUAGAAAUGUCAGCAUACAUUUUUGUUUGCAAUUAUUAAUCAAGCAAUUUCAUACUUACCCCUGCCAAAUAGUAUAAGUUGUCAAAAUUUGGCAGAGGGUUUACAAAACUAUAAACCCGGCCCAAAACAUAAUGAUAUUUGCUUGUGUAAUCUUUAAUAAAUAAGUCAUUGAUAUUGAUUUAAUGAAUAUAGUUGCAUUUUGAAUUUAGUAAGAUUAUCAUAACUUCUAAUUCUGUGGCUUUAGGCAGUCUAGUGCACAGGCAGUAAGGAAGUUUGUUUUGAGAAAGGACUGUUAUAGUGUUUGUUUCAAAGCUAAACUAUAAACUAAGUUCCUCCCAAAGUCCAGGAAUGAACAAGGACAGCCUGGAGGUUAGAAGCAAGUUGGAGUUAGUUAGUCAAAUCUUUUUUCCCUAUCUCAGUUAUAAUUUUGCAGUGAUGGUUUCAUAACUUUAAAUCAUGACUAUCACAGUUUUCAUAAACAAUCUAGGUAAACAAGGUAAUUAGGUAAAUGUAAUGUGAUACAUACUUGUAGACAAAUUUGUCAUAAUUUAGAAUAGAAAGUUAUAUUAAAUAAUAGAUAUUUCACUAUUUAGGUAUUUUCCAAUGAAAGUAUAUUGUAGGAAAACAUUCUUGCUAAAAAAAAAAAGGUGUGUCCUUUUUAAAAAAAGGUGAACAAGUUUUAUCUAAUUUAAAGCUUAUUUAAAGGUUAUAUAUAAAACGAGGUAAAAGAACCAGAAAAUAAGAGAGAUGUAAAGAAAGUUAUAAAAAUAAAGAGGUAUUUUUUGUGUUAAGAAAGCUUAAAGAGAAAUAAUUUUAUAUGAGAAAGAAUCUUGUAUGUUAAGUUUAGUCCUAAAAUAAAAUGACUGAUUAAGAAAGAGCAUGUUCAGGACAAAAGACAAAGUCCAGGCAUGUGAUGAAUGCUCUGUAUAAGUCAUAGUAAGAGGAUUUUUUUUUUAAAAAAAAACAAAAAUUUGUAUAUGAUCAAGUUGUUUAUAAGUAAUGGGAAAUUAUAUUGCUCUUCCUAGAGAUUGGGCUUGAUGUAAAAAAAAACACUUACGCACUAAAUUAUUGGUUAGAACAAUGAAAUUUUCUUAAGGGGUUGAUUUACUCUUAACAAAUUAUAAUAGAUUUUAAUUUUUUUUACUGAAAAUUCAGCUUUUAUUGCAUCUCACCAUUUGUUGGCUUUUUCUCCCGUUUUAAAAGGCACGUUUUCCUAAAGGUCUAAGGAAACGUUUUCUUCCAACAUAAUGUUCUGUGCACUGCAGAAGGUCUUUUCUUUUGCCUUUUGGUAAAUGACCUAACAGAUUUAACAUUUUAUUGAAAUAAUUCCUAUGCCAUUAUUGUUAAAUUUGGUUUGCUUAGGAAAAGGAUAAUUUUUUUUUUUUGAGACAGAGUCUCACUCUGUUGCCCAGGCUAGAGUGCAGUGGCGCAAUCUCGGCUCACUUCAACCUCCACCUCCUGGGUUCAAGUGAUUCUUCUGCCUCAGCCUCCUGAGUAGCUGGGACUACAGGUGCACGCCAUCAUGCCUAGCUAAUUUUUGUAUUAUUAGUAGAGAUGGGGUUUCACCAUAUUGGCCAGGCUGGCCUUGAACUCCUGACCUCAUGAUCCGUCCCCCCUUGGCUUCCCAAAGUACUGGGAUUACAGGCAUGAGCCACCACACCCCGCUGAUAUUUAAUUUUUUAAAUUAAAGUUAUUACAUUUGUGUAUCUUCCUGUAUGUGCUUUUAAAGUUCUUGUGACAUUGAGUUACAGGGCUUUGACUGCUGGGUCUGAAAAGGACACCAAGUCCUGCUCAAUUUUUAAACAUUGACAGCAAUUAAAGCCCCAUCUUUGGGCCCAGUAGAAGAUGCCAAUCAAAAUCAACUGCAUUCCUGAAACACAGGGACAGAAAUUAAAGCUAUUCAACUCCUCAAGGCCCAUGGACUGUCUCGGUAGAGGAGGGUGCGUGAGAUUGUAAGGGCUGAUUUUAAAGAUAAAAUAAGUUCAAUUUCUCUAUAAAUUAAUCAUUAAUGUUGAAGGCACACUGAAGCAAGACCAGCAUAUGGGCCCCUGAGUCAAAUUAACAAGGUUUUCUUGAAGUAUUAACUGUCUCCUAUAUAAAGAUUGUAAAGGUUAUGAAAGGCUUAUGGAAGUUGUAUCUUAUGAUCAAGAUUAAAAUUUUAUAAUUUUUAAAUAAAAUUUUGAAAAACAAA
This is a long non-coding RNA of Homo sapiens (human), 12475 nucleotides long. RefSeq lists it as uncharacterized. The record is from RefSeq and is a predicted model, not a curated record. The transcript has 2 exons. Lineage: Eukaryota; Metazoa; Chordata; Mammalia; Primates; Hominidae.